Molecule: ribosomal RNA, 402 nt
Filed under: bacterium
Lineage: Bacteria
Description: partial 16S ribosomal RNA
Rfam family: Bacterial small subunit ribosomal RNA
Source: RNAcentral
UGGGGAAUUUUGCACAAUGGGGGAAACCCUGAUGCAGCGACGCCGCGUGAUUUAGAAGGCCUUCGGGUUGUAAAAAUCUUUUCUAUGGGAAGAAAAUGACAGUACCAUAGGAAUAAGGACCGGCUAAUUACGUGCCAGCAGCCGCGGUAAUACGGAAGGUCCGAGCGUUGUCCGGAAUCAUUGGGCGUAAAGGGUACGUAGGCGGGUAAGCAAGUUAGAAGUGAAAUCCUAUAGCUCAACUAUAGUAAGCUUUUAAAACUGCUCAUCUUGAGGUAUGGAAGGGAAAGUGGAAUUCCUAGUGUAGCGGUGAAAUGCGCAGAUAUUAGGAGGAAUACCGGUGGCGAAGGCGACUUUCUGGCCAUAACCUGACGCUGAGGUACGAAAGCGUGGGUAGCAAACAGG